This 465-nucleotide ribosomal RNA is filed under the name uncultured bacterium. RNAcentral describes it as "bacterial SSU rRNA". It matches the Rfam family "Bacterial small subunit ribosomal RNA", at positions 330 to 792 of the family's 1533-position model. The record is from RNAcentral.
ACCAGACUCCUACGGGAGGCAGCAGUGAGGAAUAUUGGUCAAUGGACGCAAGUCUGAACCAGCCAUGCCGCGUGCAGGAUGACGGCUCUAUGAGUUGUAAACUGCUUUUGUACGAGGGUAAACCCCGAUACGUGUAUCGGGUUGAAAGUAUCGUACGAAUAAGGAUCGGCUAACUCCGUGCCAGCAGCCGCGGUAAUACGGAGGAUCCGAGCGUUAUCCGGAUUUAUUGGGUUUAAAGGGUGCGUAGGCGGUUUGAUAAGUUAGAGGUGAAAUGUCGGGGCUCAACCCCGAAACUGCCUCUAAUACUGUUGGACUAGAGAAUAGUUGCGGGAGGCGGAAUGUAUGGUGUAGCGGUGAAAUGCUUAGAUAUCGCGCAGAACCCCGAUUGCGAAGGCAGCGUGCCGGGCCGCCACUGACGCUGAGGCACGAAAGCGCGGGGAUCGAACAGGAUUAGAUACCCUUGUA